UUAAUUGAAGAGUUUGAUCAUGGCUCAGAUUGAACGCUGGCGGCAGGCCUAACACAUGCAAGUCGAGCGGCAGCACAGAGGAACUUGUUCCUUGGGUGGCGAGCGGCGGACGGGUGAGUAAUGCCUGGGAAAUUGCCCGGUAGAGGGGGAUAACCAUUGGAAACGAUGGCUAAUACCGCAUAACCUCGCAAGAGCAAAGCAGGGGACCUUCGGGCCUUGCGCUACCGGAUAUGCCCAGGUGGGAUUAGCUAGAUGGUGAGGUAAGGGAGCACCAAGGCGACGGUCCCUAGAAGGU
RNAcentral lists this ribosomal RNA (295 nucleotides) under Vibrio cholerae. RNAcentral describes it as "partial 16S ribosomal RNA". It matches the Rfam family "Bacterial small subunit ribosomal RNA", at positions 1 to 291 of the family's 1533-position model. Lineage: Bacteria; Pseudomonadati; Pseudomonadota; Gammaproteobacteria; Vibrionales; Vibrionaceae. The record is from RNAcentral.